UUCCGUAGGGUGAACCUCCGGAGGGAUCAUUACCGAGUUUACAACUCCCAAACCCCUGUGAACAUACCACUUGUUGCCUCGGCGGAUCAGCCCGCUCCCGGUAAAACGGGACGGCCCGCCAGAGGACCCCUAAACUCUGUUUCUAUAUGUAACUUCUGAGUAAAACCAUAAAUAAAUCAAAACUUUCAACAACGGAUCUCUUGGUUCUGGCAUCGAUGAAGAACGCAGCAAAAUGCGAUAAGUAAUGUGAAUUGCAGAAUUCAGUGAAUCAUCGAAUCUUUGAACGCACAUUGCGCCCGCCAGUAUUCUGGCGGGCAUGCCUGUUCGAGCGUCAUUUCAACCCUCAAGCACAGCUUGGUGUUGGGACUCGCGUUAAUUCGCGUUCCUCAAAUUGAUUGGCGGUCACGUCGAGCUUCCAUAGCGUAGUAGUAAAACCCUCGUUACUGGUAAUCGUCGCGGCCACGCCGUUAAACCCCAACUUCUGAAUGUGACCUCGGAUCAGGUAGGAAACGCAAUUCCGU
RNAcentral lists this ribosomal RNA (521 nucleotides) under Fusarium oxysporum. Its description in RNAcentral is "partial 18S ribosomal RNA". The stretch from base 181 to 334 matches the Rfam family "5.8S ribosomal RNA". The record is from RNAcentral. Lineage: Eukaryota; Fungi; Ascomycota; Sordariomycetes; Hypocreales; Nectriaceae.